UACGAAGGGGGCUAGCGUUGCUCGGAAUUACUGGGCGUAAAGCGCACGUAGGCGGUCUUUUAAGUCAGGGGUGAAAGCCCAGAGCUCAACUCUGGAACUGCCUUUGAGACUGUGGGACUUGGGUACGGGAGAGGUGAGUGGAAUUCCGAGUGUAGAGGUGAAAUUCGUAGAUAUUCGGAAGAACACCAGUGGCGAAGGCGGCUCACUGGCCCGUUACCGACGCUCAGGCGCGACAGCGUGGGGAGCAAACAGG
RNAcentral lists this ribosomal RNA (253 nucleotides) under uncultured bacterium. RNAcentral's name for it is "partial 16S ribosomal RNA". It matches the Rfam family "Bacterial small subunit ribosomal RNA", at positions 524 to 776 of the family's 1533-position model. The record is from RNAcentral.